CACGUAGGCACCAAGCGUUGUCCGGAUUUAUUGGGCGUACAGAGCUCGUAGGCGGUUCAGUAAGUCGGGUGUGAAAACUCUGGGCUCAACCCAGAGACGCCACCCGAUACUGCUGUGACUUGAGUACGGUAGGGGAGUGGGGAAUUCCUGGUGUAGCGGUGAAAUGCGCAGAUAUCAGGAGGAACACCAGUGGCGAAGGCGCCACUCUGGGCCGUAACUGACGCUGAGGAGCGAAAGCGUGGGUAGCAAACAGG
RNAcentral lists this ribosomal RNA (254 nucleotides) under uncultured bacterium. RNAcentral's name for it is "partial 16S ribosomal RNA". It matches the Rfam family "Bacterial small subunit ribosomal RNA", at positions 524 to 776 of the family's 1533-position model. The record is from RNAcentral.